Molecule: ribosomal RNA, 434 nt
Filed under: uncultured Lachnospiraceae bacterium
Lineage: Bacteria; Bacillati; Bacillota; Clostridia; Lachnospirales; Lachnospiraceae
Description: bacterial SSU rRNA
Rfam family: Bacterial small subunit ribosomal RNA
Source: RNAcentral
ACGGAAGGCAGCAGUAGGGAAUAUUGGUCAAUGGGGGAAACCCUGAACCAGCGACGCCGCGUGAGUGAAGAAGUAUUUCGGUAUGUAAAGCUCUAUCAGCAGGGACGAUAAUGACGGUACCUGACUAAGAAGCCCCGGCUAACUACGUGCCAGCAGCCGCGGUAAUACGUAGGGGGCAAGCGUUAUCCGGAUUUACUGGGUGUAAAGGGAGCGUAGGUGGCCAUGCAAGUCAGAUGUGAAAUCCCGGGGCUCAACCCCGGAGCUGCAUUUGAAACUGCGUAGCUAGAGUGCAGGAGAGGUAAGCGGAAUUCCUAGUGUAGCGGUGAAAUGCGUAGAUAUUAGGAGGAACAUCAGUGGCGAAGGCGGCUUACUGGGCUUUAACUGACGCUGAGGCUCGAAAGCGUGGGGAGCAAACAGGAUUAGAUACCCUGGUA